RNAcentral lists this ribosomal RNA (486 nucleotides) under Liocoris tripustulatus. RNAcentral describes it as "partial large subunit ribosomal RNA". It matches the Rfam family "Eukaryotic large subunit ribosomal RNA", at positions 679 to 1118 of the family's 3401-position model. The record is from RNAcentral. Lineage: Eukaryota; Metazoa; Arthropoda; Insecta; Hemiptera; Miridae.
CGUGUGCGCGAGUCAUUGGGUGUCAAAACCUAAAGGCGUAAUGAAAGUGAAGGAAACUUUGUUUUCGAGGGAGGAUGGGUUAGGUCCCUUUCGAAGGGCCGGCCUCGCACUCCCGGGGCGUCUCUAUCUCAUCGCGAGAGGAGGCGCACCUAGAGCGUACACGCUGAUACCCGAAAGAUGGUGAACUAUGCCUGGCCAGGACGAAGCCAGGGGAAACCCUGGUGGAGGUCCGCAGCGAUUCUGACGUGCAAAUCGAUCGUCGGAGCUGGGUUUAGGGGCGAAAGACCAAUCGAACCAUCUAGUAGCUGGUUCCCUCUGAAGUUUCCCUCAGGAUAGCUUGCGCUCGGAAACAACGAGUCUCAUCCGGUAGAGCGAAUGAUUAGAGGCCUUGGGGUCGAAACGACCUCAACCUAUUCUCAAACUCCAAAUAGAUGAGAACCCCGGCUUUCUUGAACUCUGUUUAUGAAGCCGGGGGCUCGGAUCAGA